This 25-nucleotide non-coding RNA is filed under the name Mus musculus (house mouse). The record is from RNAcentral. Lineage: Eukaryota; Metazoa; Chordata; Mammalia; Rodentia; Muridae.
GCAUAAGAGGAAGAAGGUUAAAUUG